This is a long non-coding RNA of Aegilops tauschii subsp. strangulata, 3085 nucleotides long. RefSeq lists it as uncharacterized. The record is from RefSeq and is a predicted model, not a curated record. NCBI's taxonomy places the organism in Eukaryota, Viridiplantae, Streptophyta, Magnoliopsida, Poales, Poaceae.
UCGCUGAGGGAAGCCGGCGGCUACUUCUGUUUCCGUUGGCAGCCGCUCCCGCUUCUGAUAUGAGUGGAUCCUGCUCCCGCUCGCCCCUAGUCAACCUCCUGCGUCGGCGCGCCACUGUCGCCUCCGCCGACUCCACCCAUGGGUGGAGGAGAUGGCCGAAUCGGCCGCCGUGGCGUGCAAGCGCGGGCUGCUCCUGCACAACCACCAGCGCCCGUGGAGGAGCUGCGGCGGGGAGGUGUUCAUCUACUCUUUUUUGUCACUGGAAUAAGGGCAACAUUAAAUGACCAAGUUUAAUCCAUGUACCAUGGCAACUAACAUAUAAUCUUACCAUGCCAAUUUAAGAUGUGUUUUUGCCAUGGCAAAUUAAGGUAUGUUUUUAGGGUGUGUAAAAUUUUGAAAGUUUCUAAAAACCAGGCAAUCUUGCGAUCCUUCAAAUAGGUUGCCACCAUUUUCUUCAAAUGUAUGUUAGUUUUCAUUUCUCUAACACGGCAAACUUACUAUAUGGACCAUGGCAAAAUUAAUUGAUGGACCAUGGCAAGUUUAAUUCAAGUACCAUGGAAUAUUUAUUUUGUCACAUCGCGGCUUUUUUUUACGUAAAUGACAUUUUCCUUUAUAGAUUUUACAUGGCAAGUUUGACUCAAGUAUCAUGUCUAUUUUUUGUCCAUGUUUUAGAUUCCAUGGCAAAACAAUCACUAAAACAUGACAAAUUCUGAAAGUUUUUUAAUCAUGGCAAACUUGCCAUCUUUCAAAUAGUUAACCCCAUUUUUUCUUGAAAUGCAUGUUACCAUGGUCCAUAUAGACAUGGAAAUUUUUCCAUAUUUUAUUUAUAUAUUUUUUAACAUGGCAAACUUUUUUAUGGACCAUGGCAAAAUUAAUUUAUGGAUCAUGGCAAGUUUAAUCCAAGUACUAUGGCAAAUUCAUACUCGAUAACAUGGCAAGUUUAAUCCAAGUACCAUGGCAAAAACUUUUAAAUUUGCAUGUUUUCUCAUUUAAUACCAUGGCAUUUUCUCGUGUAUAUGCUGUUUUUUUGUUUUUUACCAGGGCCAAUUUUAUUUUCUAUUCUACGGCAAAUUCAUCAAGUAUACCAUGGAAAACUUCUAAUUGUGUCAUGGCACUUUUUGUCCAUGUUUUUACUUUCUCUUGGUUGUGUGUAAGGAAAAUGCAAGUAAAUUUGUGUAUUCAAAGAUGUCAAAGUUAAUAAAUUUUGAUCCAUUUGACAUGGCAUUGCUCAGAAUUUUUCUAUACAUGCCCAAUGGCAAUUUUUGUACAAGUCUUUUUUGUUCUAUCUUAUAUGGUCAUUUUUUUUGUGUUUUCUUAAUAUUAUGGCAAAAUUUCCACACUCAAUUUGUCAUGAAGUGUGCAGGAACAUCAUGUCAAAUCAUGAAAAUUUCUGUAAUAUACGUUUUUUCCAUGAUUAUGUGGUAGUUCUGUUUAUUAAAGCAUGGCAACUUUCUGUUCCUGGAUAUUUUUCAGGUAGUGUUUUUCUUGGUCCAGUACAUUUUUAGGCAUUUUUUGUGUUUUCUCUAUUGUUUAGGAUAGAAGCAGUUUUGGGCCUUCAAUAUUUUAGUUCUUUGUUUUUUUUAUUCUUGGGCUUGCCCCAUUUUUGGGCUGAUCGUUGUCCUUGCCAGAUCGUUGUCCAAGUUUAUCUGACGUGGGAUGGUUCGGGCUAGAGGGGUACUUCUAUCGAACGAGUUCGUUCGUUCCAACGACUCUCCCAGCACGAACGACUCGUUCGGGCUGGGGUAUCCCCAGACCGAUCGUUCGGCAGUUAUCGAUGUCCAAUUUUUAUGGUUGGACCUCGUGUAUAUAUAGCAGGUGGAUUUGGUUAGGGGUAUUGGGUCCCUCCUAUCGUAAUCGGACGGUUGAAAAUAAACGAAAACACUAACGUCCACACAUGUGGCACUACUGUAACUCGUCCACAUGCGUGGAUCACCGUCCAGUUAAGUUCGCACGAAUCUUGACACAUUGAGGCAGUUUUCACUUGCCACGUAGAACGAAGUUGGUGGGUGGGAGUUUUGGCAGCUCGCCCGCACGCUGGUUUCUCGCACUGAUCUUUUGGUUCAUGUUCGGGCCGAACGACGCGCUACCGCACAAAUCUUAUCCACUCCCCCGUCCACUCCUCCCGCGGGUUCACUCUCUCCCCUUCCUCUCGAGCUCGUGCGGCGGAAUUUUGAGAGACCACGGUGAGAGGAGCUCGUGCCUGUGGCUGCGUGGUGGCCUACUCAGACCCCGCGACGGAGGAGCUGCUCAUGGACGCAUGCGCGGCUCUCCCAAGCGCUCCUGCUCGGCGGCUCCGGCGACGCGCGCGCUGGCGGUGAGGAGCGGCGGGAAGGAGAUGGGGGCGAUGCGUUCGACGACGAUGGCCACCCCUGCUACUGUCCUCGGUGUCGGCGCUCGUUCCUUGCCUGCGACGACGGCGCCGCCAGGAACGGCGCCCUCCGCUCUUCCCCACUGUUCUGGCUUGAUCUGGUGGCAAGGGUGCUCAGGAGCGAUUCGUCGGCGGCGGGGGAGGCGGAGCUCGACAAGGAGGUGAGCGAGGUCGUGCGUCUUGCGGCCGAGCUGCUUGUUGUCGGGGGGAACGUUGUCGUCUUCAUGCACUGCGCCGUCAGGGAGAUGGUCACCGGGAGGCGUAGGUGUCCGAGGGAGAGGCCACGGAGGUGGGCAGAGGUUGACGACGAGCUUCCGUGCUUCACCAUCGGCAUGAGGCGCAGUUGGGCCAGGAGGUGGACGAGGCCCUGCUAGUUGCAGCGGAGCUGCUCGUCGGCGUGGACGACGUCUUCUUCGUGUGUGUCGCCGAUGGGGAACUGCUCGGCGGAGUUCGUCGCGAGCUCAGGUUACCUAGGCCAACAGGGGACGAGAAAUUGGAUCAGCAGCUGGCGGUUUAGUUUCUCUCCAGCGGAUCAGCAACCAUGGCAAUUUUUACACUGAACUCUAUUUUUGAUGGCAAGGAGUUCCUUUUUCUUCUUCAUUUUUUACUUUUUUUCCUCGUGCUUUUUAUUUCACGUCUGGGAAGAGGCCCAGCAAAAUGGGCUCUUAGGCCUUUUUAGAUCGCUAAGAUCGUUCCGAACGUCAGUGGGUUAUCGUA